RNAcentral lists this non-coding RNA (194 nucleotides) under Desulfocarbo indianensis. Lineage: Bacteria; Pseudomonadati; Thermodesulfobacteriota; Desulfarculia; Desulfarculales; Desulfarculaceae. The record is from RNAcentral.
UUAAAGAGAAGAAAGAUCGGUGCCAGAGAUGGCUUAAUAGGGAAGACGGUGUGAAUCCGUCGCGGUCCCGCCGCUGUAACCGGCGACAAGGGUUGCUGGAUUAUGAAAAUCCAGCCACUGCUCCGUAGGAGCGGGAAGGCGUGACCCGAGGACGACCCGGAAGCCAGAAGACCUGCCGGUCGCAUAUGGUCCAU